RNAcentral lists this transfer RNA (73 nucleotides) under Polyangiaceae bacterium. Its description in RNAcentral is "tRNA-His". It matches the Rfam family "tRNA". From Rfam's summary of the family: Transfer RNA (tRNA) molecules are approximately 80 nucleotides in length. The record is from RNAcentral. Lineage: Bacteria; Pseudomonadati; Myxococcota; Polyangiales; Polyangiaceae.
GUGGCCGUAGCUCAGUUGGUAGAGCGCUGGAUUGUGGUUUCAGCUGUCGCGGGUUCGAAACCCGUCGGUCACC